This 439-nucleotide ribosomal RNA is filed under the name uncultured bacterium. RNAcentral's name for it is "partial 16S ribosomal RNA". It matches the Rfam family "Bacterial small subunit ribosomal RNA", at positions 339 to 795 of the family's 1533-position model. The record is from RNAcentral.
CUACGGGCGGCUGCAGUGAGGAAUAUUGCACAAUGGGGGGAACCCUGAUGCAGCAACGCCGCGUGGAGGAUGACGCAUUUCGGUGUGUAAACUCCUUCUAUAUGUCAAGAAAAUGACGGUAGCAUAUGAAUAAGCACCGGCUAACUCCGUGCCAGCAGCCGCGGUAAUACGGAGGGUGCAAGCGUUACUCGGAAUCACUGGGCGUAAAGGACGCGUAGGCGGGUUGGAAAGUCAGGUGUGAAAUCCUGCAGCUUAACUGUAGAACUGCACUUGAAACUUCUAAUCUAGAGUAUGGGAGGGGGAGAUGGAAUUAGUGGUGUAGGGGUAAUAUCCGUAGAUAUCACUAGGAAUACCUAAAGCGAAGGCGAUCUCCUGGAACAUUACUGACGCUAAGGCGUGAAAGCGUGGGGAGCAAACAGGAUUAGAUACCCCGGUAGUC